This 1041-nucleotide ribosomal RNA is filed under the name Triticum aestivum (bread wheat). RNAcentral describes it as "partial small subunit ribosomal RNA". Lineage: Eukaryota; Viridiplantae; Streptophyta; Magnoliopsida; Poales; Poaceae. The record is from RNAcentral.
AUGUCGUCCUCCGAAGAGGAGAAGGCGGCCGGCGCCAAUGGCGAGCAGCGGCUGCAGGAGGGAGAGGACGAGGGCGUGCUGGCGGCGGCGAUGGAGCAGCUGGCGGCGGAGGGGGUGCGGGCGCUGCACGCGCGGGUGGAGGCGGAGUGGGACCCCGUGCUGCAGAGCGCGUGCCAGACGGCGGCCGUGCGGGCGCUGUGGGCGAGCGCGGUGCGGGACCCGGCCGCCGGGGUGCUGGCCGGGGAGCGCCACCUCAGGGGCCUCCACGAGAAGAUGCGCCGCGACGAGCGCACCGGCGCGCGCGAGGUGCACGGGGUCAUGAUCGCCGUGCGCACGCUCUGGUUCGACGCCCGCAUCGAGGCCGCCGUCGCCGGCCUCGGCGGCGCCGCGCAGGUCGUCCUCCUCGGCGCAGGGAUGGACGCAAGAGCCUAUCGACUGGGCUGCCUAAAGGACUGCGCCGUAUUUGAACUCGACUUUGCAGAUCUCCUAGAUAUGAAAUCAGAUAUUCUGCAUGAAGCAAUGAGUUCUGGAAAUCAUCAAAAACUCACCAUGAUGGCAAAAUCAUUGACUAGAGUUCCUGCUGAUAUACGAGAUGUUGACUGGAUGACCAAGCUACAGAGUUGUGGGUAUGUUCCUGAAAGAAAUACUGUAUGGGUUCUUGAAGGAAUCCUCUAUUACCUUCAUCAUGUGCAUGCGAUGCAAGUCCUUGAAACCAUUGCGGCAUGCCGCACCUCAGCCUGCACGGUCCUCCUUGCUGACUUUAUGAACAAGAAUGCGGCAUCACUGUCGCAGACGAUGUACCAUUUCUACCACGACAGCCCUGAUCUCCUACUGCCUUCUAUCGGGUUCUCUCAGGCAAUGUUGUCACAAAUUGGAGACCCCCAAGCACAUUUUGGUCUCCUAAAUCAUCCACAAAAUCUGUUUGAUAAGCUGAGGAGAUUGCCAAGAACAGUGGAGAUUAAUCCAGAGGAUGGCACACCAUGCCGAAGAUUGUAUUUGGUAGAAGCCUCUGCUUCUCCAGAUGAUCACACCACUUUAUAA